This 1735-nucleotide long non-coding RNA is filed under the name Camponotus floridanus (Florida carpenter ant). RNAcentral's name for it is "uncharacterized LOC112638454, transcript variant X2". Lineage: Eukaryota; Metazoa; Arthropoda; Insecta; Hymenoptera; Formicidae. The record is from RNAcentral.
AUCAACAUUCUGACGUGAUAAAUUGAGACAAACCGAGAUUUUUUGUAAUGCAACUAUUACGACCAGCAGUUCGCGCGUCCCUAUUUCCUUUAUUUUUCGAGUCGCGGAAGCGCCGUCCGUACACGUGGCAAGCAACCGCUUGGCAACGAGCAACGACCUCCUCCUGUGCAAGAACGUACCGCAAAGCGUCGCGGAUGAUAGUCACGGAGAAGCGCAUUUGUCGAGCAAAAUGCUGGUAGCGGCCACGACGACGACGACGACGAGACAAAGAGAGAAGCGUAACGGAGGGAAGACAGGACCAACCGGAAACGGACAGGCAAGAAGAAGAAAAUGUCCGGUGAAAAAAAAGGCCACGUCAAGGUCCUCAGACAGAUUCGCGACGCGGCUUAAGUCAUGUCACACACCACCUGUCGCGCGACUAAGGCAAGUCAAUGCGCACACUCUUCGUCAUUUCUUGCGGAAAAAGCAACGACAGCUCUAUAGAAGUUUCUUCGCGCCUAUGCUCGUGCGGAAUUUCGAUCGAGAAUAAGCUGGAGAAAUGAAUAUUUUCGAUCUUUGAUGUCGAUAAAACACCUCGUAGUUCGAUCGUGCUCACGUCCUCCCAGGAAUCUCUCUCGAUCUCAUUGUUCGUGGGCAGCAGGCCAGAAAGCGGCGCUUCCGGUUUCAGGUUGAGUUGCACGACGAUCAGACGAACGGACAGGCCUGGCUGCAUCCUGACUCGCCAGCACCCCUGCGUGAUACUCGCGGAAAAUUGUCGUAGCAACGGGAAGCGGAUAAGUCGACGCGCGGAACCGGAAGUCGCCGUGGGAUCGCUUGUAGAAGCUUGAAAACACGGAGCGAAACCUUCAUGCUCCCUGGGAACCUCCGAUUAGCUACACGCACGUGUAUAUUUUUCGCCUGUCUCUCUUUUGCGUACGUGUGUGCGUGUCUAUAAGCAGUCAUCACGACAUACACGUACACAAACGUUCGUGUCUGAGAUAGCUCGCGACACGAACUUUAGAUGAACGUAGCAAAGAUAAAUCUUGUUCUUUUAAUAAAAAUUUCUUCAAUUGUGCGCAAAUAAAAAAUAAUACUAUUCAUCAAAUCUAUUGAAAAUCGUCUUGUAAUUCUGAACAAAUAACUUGGGAAUGAAAAUUGGUCGAAUCAUUAUAUCAUAUUUCACAUUACAUAUGGUUAAUAAGAAAUUUAUCCGUAUAUAUGUAGAUGCACACUUGAGCAUCGUAUAUACUAGUACAAGGUAGGUCGAUGACUCAUGCUAAUCAUUGUUAGGCUAUGGAAAAUGUCGGCUUCGUAACUAUUGAGAAAAGCAUGAAGCAGACACGAAGCAUGCCUACAAAUCUCUUCGUUUCUAUAGUCUUUAUUAUCGUAGCUUCAAGGGAAGAAAAUAAUGAAGUUGUCGGAGAUGUCAAACCUAACGAAGUACAUUAAUCAAUGACACAGCGGAUGCAACGUUUAGAAAAUUGGACGCUUGAACGUACAAGUUUGGCAAAGAUAGAAGGAUUAACAAUGAUACCCACACGAAUUGAUCUACAUCCAGAAAUCGUGGGCGAUGCUGACAUCAUGCUGACCAACGACUUCCUAGACUCGCUGUCCUUGAAAGAUAGAUACAGACAUUUUUACAGUUUGACAUCGUCAUGCAAACGUUUUGUUUCAAACAAGAAGAAACGUGAUGUUCAUAACAUGAGAACCAUUAUCAUCUAUGUGUACCAAUAACGCAAUUAGUAAAUGAAUCCAA